CUGGCGGCGUGCCUAACACAUGCAAGUCGAACGAAGCAUUUGAAUGGAUCCCUUCGGGGUGAAGCUCUUAUGACUUAGUGGCGGACGGGUGAGUAACGCGUGGGUAACCUACCUCAUACAGGGGGAUAACAGUUAGAAAUGACUGCUAAUACCGCAUAAGCGCACAGUAUUGCAUGAUACAGUGUGAAAAACUCCGGUGGUAUGAGAUGGACCCGCGUCUGAUUAGCUAGUUGGUGAGGUAAUGGCCCACCAAGGCGACGAUCAGUAGCCGGCCUGAGAGGUUGAACGGCCACAUUGGGACUGAGACACGGCCCAAACUCCUACGGGAGGCAGCAGUGGGGAAUAUUGCACAAUGGGCGAAAGCCUGAUGCAGCGACGCCGCGUGAACGAAGAAGUAUUUCGGUAUGUAAAGUUCUAUCAGCAGGGAAGAUAAUGACGGUACCUGACUAAGAAGCACCGGCUAAAUACGUG
RNAcentral lists this ribosomal RNA (471 nucleotides) under uncultured bacterium. RNAcentral's name for it is "bacterial SSU rRNA". It matches the Rfam family "Bacterial small subunit ribosomal RNA", at positions 36 to 507 of the family's 1533-position model. The record is from RNAcentral.